GGGCGAUUAGCUCAGUUGGGAGAGCACCUGCCUUACAAGCAGGGGGUCACUGGUUCGAGCCCAGUAUCGCCCACCA
Molecule: transfer RNA, 76 nt
Filed under: Vibrio parahaemolyticus
Lineage: Bacteria; Pseudomonadati; Pseudomonadota; Gammaproteobacteria; Vibrionales; Vibrionaceae
Also listed under: 1 other name
Description: tRNA-Val
Rfam family: tRNA
About the family: Transfer RNA (tRNA) molecules are approximately 80 nucleotides in length. Their secondary structure includes four short double-helical elements and three loops (D, anti-codon, and T loops).
Source: RNAcentral